Mobula hypostoma (lesser devil ray) is the source of this 472-nucleotide non-coding RNA. NCBI's taxonomy places the organism in Eukaryota, Metazoa, Chordata, Chondrichthyes, Myliobatiformes, Myliobatidae. The record is from the annotation of a RefSeq genome assembly.
AUUGAAACAUCGGUCACUGCGUCUCCCGAUAAAUACACCCUGAACUGGCCCGAUAAUCUCAAAGGUGUCAAGUUUGUCAGUGCUCACAGUGAUGAAUGUUAUUUUCUACCUCUGUCUAAUCCUGUCUUACAUGGCAGGCGUGAGAUCCGACAUUGUGUUGACACAGCCCGAGUCAGCGGUGGUAAAUCCCGCACAGUCUCACAGACUUACGUGUGCAUUCAGUGGGUUCAGCCUCGGCAGCUAUGACAUGCAUUGGAUGAAACAGGUCUCCGGGAACGGGCUCGUAUGGUUGGCGGUUUUACGGGCUACUGGUAGCAAAACAUACGCGCCCGGAGUCCAAGGCCGAUUUAAGGUUUUCAAGGACAUCAGCUCCGUUUAUCUGCAAAUGAACAACCUGCGGCUGGAUGACACUGCCACCUAUUACUGUGCAAGUGACACAGUGAGAGAAAUCGCGACUGGACCGGAACAAUAA